UACGGGGGGAGCAAGCGUUGUUCGGAAUCACUGGGCGUAAAGGGCGUCUAGGCGGUUCGGUAAGUGGGAUGUGAAAUGCCCGGGCUCACCCCGGGACCUGCAUCCCAAACUGCUGAGCUUGAGUACAGGAGAGGGUAGGGGAAUUCCAGGUGUAGCGGUGAAAUGCGUAGACAUCUGGAGGAACACCGGUGGCGAAGGCGCCUACCUGGCCUGUUACUGACGCUGAAGCGCGAAAGCUAGGGGAGCAAACGGG
RNAcentral lists this ribosomal RNA (253 nucleotides) under uncultured bacterium. RNAcentral's name for it is "partial 16S ribosomal RNA". It matches the Rfam family "Bacterial small subunit ribosomal RNA", at positions 524 to 776 of the family's 1533-position model. The record is from RNAcentral.